GACUUCAUGCAUCAUUAGAUUCAUUAGUGAUCAUAAGCAUCACCAGAAACUCUGUAUCUUUCUUUUUUCAAAAGCUAAAAAUGACACUAUGGGGCAAACUAGAGGCACAGUUUGGGAUCAAUGCUCCUGCAGAUCAGUUUCAUGAUGUCUUCAGUUGUCGACCACACCAUAUAUCCAAUAUGUCCCCUCACAAUAUUCAUGAUUGUGAUCUUCAUGAAGGUGAAUGGGGUAAGGAAGGCGCUAUUGUCUGCUGGAAAUAUUUCCAUGGUAAGCGUUUAAUCUUUUUCAAUUGUAUUUUUCUUUUUUUUUUUCUAAAAAUUAUUAAUAAAUAUAAAAAUGAAAAAUAGAUGGGUCUGCUAAAGUGGCUAAGCAAGUAAUUGAAACCAUAGAUGAUGUGAAUUUGUUAACCGUCUUCAAAGUGAUCGAAGGAGAUCUGUUGAAGGAAUAUAAGAGUUUUAAGUUGACUGUUCAAGCUGCGCCUAAAGGAGAGGGCAGCGUGGUGCAUUGGACCUUAGAAUAUGAGAAGAUCCAUGAGAAUAUACAAGAUCCUUACUCCUUACUAGAGUUUAUUGUCCAAUUUAAUAAGGAUGUUUCUGCUCAUCUCGUGAAAUGUCCGAAGAAAUGAUCAUGAACAUGUUAUGCUUUAAUAUGUGAUUUGCAUAAUAAUUAAAUAAGUGCUCUAUAAUGAAGCACCAAUGACAAACAUAUUUGUGUAUGAACUUAUAUCUACAAUGUAUUAAAUCUUAAAAUGUAUUAAAUCUUAAAACUAUGUUUGUGUUUUUUUUUAAUGAUUACGCUUUCUUUAUUAAUAUCUAUCUAAAUUUUUAAUGUCCGAUUGAUGUUGAUUCGACUUGAUUUAAAUCUAUUUUUUUAAUUUUUUAUUAUAAAAAAUUAAAAAUUCAAAGCGAGCUCUAACAACUUAAAAUUUAACAUGGAAUGAAAAAUACUCAUAAAAAUUUAUCGACAUAAGCUAUGCUAUUCAUAUCUAGGAAUUUCUUCACCAGUCGUUUCUUCUAUUUCAAACAAUGAUUAGUAGCAUUGAUCAAAUCUAAUUUUCCUAAGAUUUUCAAUCAAUUUUAUGUUUAUCAAGAUGUAUUAAAAAAUAAUUAAGUAUAUAUGUAAAAUUAGAAAACCAUGACCUUAUCAAUGCACACUUAUAUAUAUCAUAAUUUAGAGGAUAUAGCCUCGUUUGUUUAUAAAGAAUAAAUUUUUAAAAAAUAUUUAUUAUGAAAAAUAUUUUCUAAGAAUAAAAAUAAUUUUUAAGAAAAUAAUUUUUAAGAAAAUAACUUUUUUAUUUGUGAUUUUAAAAAAUGAAGUCAAUAAAUUUUUUCUCUAAAAUAUUUUCUAUUAAUUAAUCUUUUUCAAUAUUUCAAAUAUCAAAAAAUUUAAAAACAUUUUCAUGCAAACAAACCACUUAAUUUCCUCUUUGAAAUUCAUUUAAGCGAUCAUAUAUAUUCAUAUUUGUGUAUAUCAAAUCAAUAGUAUUAUAAUAUAUUUUUAUAUAAAAUUUUCUAUUUAUUAUUUAUAUUAAUAUAAAAAAAAUAUGCAGCAAUCGCAUAUUGUUUAAAAUAAAAGAAGAAAAUAUAAAUUUAUUUUUAUUAGAAUGCGAUAUAUAAUUAUUUAAGGCAUUGUAACAUUUUCCAUCCCCUAACACAAACCCUAAUUGAAAUCACUCAGAAUAGUCAAUGCUUAAUAAUUGAGUAGGAAAGAUCUCUACUAUAUUAAAAAUAUAUAUAUGGCAACUAAGCUCGUACCACUUCUAUAUGAAGAAAGCAAUGAGAAAGCAGUAUAAGCAUUACCAAAAACUCUCUCUCCAUAUUUCCUUUUUCUUGAAAAGCAAAAAUGACGCUAUUGGGCAAAUCGGAGGCAGAUGUUGAGAUCGAUGCUCCAGCAGAUCAAUUUCACGAUGUCUUUAAUUAGUUGCAGACCACACCAUGUAUCCAACAUGAGUCCCGAUAAAAUUCGUGGUUAUGAUCUUCGUGAAGGUGAAUGGGUAAGAAAGGCACUGUGAUUUGCUGGAUUUAUUCUUCUAAUAAAAUAUUUAAAAUAUUAAUUUAAGAUGUUUCAGAAAUAUUACAUUUUAUCAUUAUCAUCCUAUUUUAAAAAUAAUUUUAUUUAAAUAUUUUUAUUAAUUGUUUUAUAUGAAUUUUUUUAAUCCUCCCCAUAAGUCUAGAUGCACCAUAAAUUAAACCCUGACUCAAAUUAUAUUACUAGACUUUGAAAUAUGAAAAAAUCCAUGAGAAUAUAUCAGAUCCUAAUAUAUUACUGAAACUACUUAUCCAUUUAAGUAAAGAUGUUUAUGCUCAUCUCCUGGAAUAUCAAAAGAAAUUAUCAUAGAUUAUGUUAUGUCAUAACGCGUGAUAUUUCGUGUAAUAAUUAAUUAAGUGCUCUAUAAUGAAACACAAGUGGCUGGGACAUUUUGUUGCAGAAAAACUUGCCUAAAAUCUAUGUCAUGUGUUUGUGUUACUCUAUUAUUAUAUGUCUUUUAAUUUGAUAAAAUUAAAAAUUAGAGAUUAAAUCAUUUACUUUUUUUAAAAAAAUAAUUUAACAGCAUAAAGUAAGGAUUAAACUGUUAAUUUUAAAAUUUUAUGCGGUUAUAUAUUAAUUUUGACCUAAUUAUUUUAUAACAAUUAAUUUCAAUGGUCUCAUCCGUAGGAAAUUCGUAAUUAAUAUAUUUUAUUUAUUUUUAUAUAUUUAUUGUGUGUUGAGUAUAUUAUAAUAGGGUCCAACAUGCAAGUAAUAAUUCAAAAUUUGAAAAAUGUGAUCUAUUAUUUUGUCCCAAUUUGCAUGCAUAGAAGAUUUACUCCAAACGGAAAUAAGAUUUUUUUCCAUGGAUUUUUUUUUUUUUUUUUUACAUUGCGGAGAAAAAAAUUACAAUUAAGCAAUUAGGCCUUUCAGAGAAUAGGCCUAUUAAUCUGAAGGCAAUAUUUCUCAAAAACACAAAUUUGCAACAAUAUCAAUAAAAGUGUUUGCGAACAUAGUGGUGUUACAUAACAUUAGCCCAAAAAAAGUUGUGUUGUCACUAUAGAAUAGAGAUCACAUGAUAAAAUUUAACAAGUAAAAAACGUUGUCUCGCUACAGGAGGAAAUCCGGAUACUUUAACACACAGACUAUCGUCAAGACUCGCCCUCCCCGGAUAGGCCGAGUCUUGACACAGAGUUACUGUUACUAGACACAUUUCUAUUUUGCCUAAUUAGCUGACGAUGUCCAUUAUCGAAUAGUCGGCCACAUUAUUAUUGGAUUUUCAGGAAACACUAUAUUUAUCUUCAUUCCUUACAAUAUAAAAGGAGAACGAUUUCAGAGGAAAUGUAUGCUAUUUCUAAUACUAUUCAAACUUUAAGUAAUUCUUUGCAUUUCUCUGUUCAUCUAAACACUGACUUCAGCAUCAAAUAGACUGUCGUGGGCACCCACCACCACCUCACGUUUUCUCUCUUGUAGGUUCUAGCCGAUUACAGCUAUGUUCCAUUUCGGCUACGUCAUCAAUCCAAUCUUAGCAACAUCAUUUGGUUCCAUUGCCGGAAAAGAUCCAUUAAACUCACUCCUGGAUCAGGCCCAGUUUCCUAUCGUCUUGCCUCACUCGAAAUGGCUGGAAACCCUACAGUUGCUGACAAUACCAUUACCAAUAAGGGGGUCAUCAUUUCCUCUAUCCCAAAUAACUGAGAGAACAUGCAUCCAAUGAUUAAUGAAGCAGACCUUAAUAAUUUGAACAAUGAGCAGAUACUCCAGUAUAUCCAAAGGUUGCAGGCCACUCUCGGGCAGUAUAAGACUCGAGAAGAGGCGUCUAAGAUGGACUCUGAAAGAAGAGAUGAGACUUCCGUAAACACCCCCAAAGCCAAGACGGAAGCACCUAAAAUGCAGCAUAAAGGUAAGUGUGAAUCUGAAGAUAAAUUAGAUGAGGUUUCAAAAGAAGUGGAUUGGAAGCUGAUGACGUAAUGUCAUCUGGGUCCUGGAUCCACACCAGUGAAUAUUGUCCGCUUUGGCUCAAGGCCGCACGGUUUUGCUUUAAAACGUGUCCACUGGGGUUUCAAGGGCAGAGACUUAGGAUUUUAGUUUGGAUGGAUCUCGCCUCUUUCAGAAAAAAUACUAGAGGAAACUUUUCCCGCUAAGUUCAAGUUGCCCUAUUUGGAUAAGUAUUACGGAACGACAGACCCUUGAAGCCAUCUAGCCAUUUUCAGGAUGACCAUGGAGUUUCAAGAUUUAAAUGAUUUUGUGUUAUGCCGAAUAUUCCCUUCGACGCUCACGAUUUCUGAAACUUAUUAAUAAGUAUAAAAAUAAAAAAUUGAUGGAUCUCGCAAAGUGGCAAAAGAGAUGAUUGAAACCAUAGACAAUGUGAACUUAUCAACCACUUACAAAAUAAUCGACAGAGAUCUAAUGAAGGAGUACAAGAGUUUCAAAGCUACCGUUCAAGCUACACCCAAAAGAAAUGGCAGUCUGAUGCAUUGGACCUUGUUAAUAUAAGAAGCUGAAUGAAAAUAUAUCAGAUCUCCAUACAUUAAUGGAAUUUAUUAUCCAUUGCAGUAAGGAUAUUUCUGCUAAAUGCCAGAAGAAAUGAUCAUGGAAUAUGAUCAUCACAUAUUCAUAUCUAAGAAUCUCUUUGCUGUUUUUUCAAACAAUAAAUAAUCAAUUAGUAGCAUCUAUUGAUCUAGUUAAUUUUUUGAAAGUUUUCGAUCGAUUUUAAAUUUAUCAAUAUGUGUUGAUAAUUAAUUAUGAUACAUAAAAUCCGAGACCAUGAUUUUAUUCAUACAGAUUGUAAUAGACAUCAUAAUUUGGAGGCAGGAUUUAGAUUCUAUUUAUUUAUAAAAAAUAAAUUAUUGUCUUUAAAAAUAAUUUAAUAUUUUUAUCAGUAAAAUAAUUUUUAUUAUUCAUUUCUUUUGAAUAUUCUAAACAUAAAAAAUUGAAAGAUAUUUUAACCGCGUAAUUUCCUCUGUGAAAUUCAUUCAAGCUAGAAGUAGCAUAGCACUUUUAGAUGAUCGUAUAUAUUCACAUUUUUAUUUAUUAAUUAUAUAUAUAUAUAAAUUAAAUGUGGAAUUUACUAUAAUUUAAAAUAAUAUAUUAUUUAUUUAUGUAUCAGAUUUAUAUAUUAAAAUUUCCAUGGAAUUUUUCAUCAAAUAAUGCUCAACUCCUCUAUGAGUUAUGGCACCCUCUUCGAGUAGCUAGAAAUACCUAAUCUUAUAUAAAAAUAAAUAUUUUAAUUACUUAAACUUUAAUUAAAAUAUUUUAUUUAAUUAUUAAGACUAACUCGCUUUUAUAUAUGAAUUUAAAUAAUUUAAAUUAAAUUUUAAUUAAAUUUUAAAAUAAAUUUAACACAAAAAUAAGAUAAUUCACAAUUUAUCUUAUUAUUUUUAUUUGUAGUAAUUAUUUUAUCUCACUAAUAAUUUCAACCAAAGUGAGUGAAAAACAUAUAUUUAGGGGUGUCCAGUAUUUAGUUCAAACCGAAAAAAAAAUUGAUAAAUUUAAUUAAUUUGAAAAUUCAGUUGAUUUUUUAUUCAGUUCUGUUCGAUUCAAUUUUUAAUUUCAAAAAUUUUGAUUAUUUCAAUUUGGUACGGUUUUGAGCAGAAAAAAAUGAAAAAAUUAAACUGAACCGAUUAAUGAUAAUAGUAUAUUAUUUUCAAUAAUAUAGAGAUUAAAUCAUAUUAAUGUUAAAAUAUUUUAAUUAAAUUUUAAAAUAUUAAAAAUAAAGUGUAAAAAAUAAAAAUUUAUUAAAAAUUCAAACCAAUCAAAUGAAAUUAAAUCAAACCGAAUCAUAUUGGUUCAUUUCUAUUUGAUUUUUUAUCAAAAUCAAUUCGAUUUUCAUAAAUACCAAAAUUUUAAUUUUUAUAUUAUUCAAUUCCAUUUGAUUUUGAAUCAAAUCGAUCAAAUGCUCACCCCUGAAUAUAUAUUGUGAAAAAGAUUGCUUAAAUGUUAGAUUCAUUAUUACUUGAGUUUCAAUUGGAUUUUUUUAAUAAUUUUAUUUAGAUAAAGAACUCUAUUUAAUUACAAAAAAAUAUAUGGAAAUCCAAUAAUUUUAUUUAGAUAAAGAACUCUAUUUAAUUACAAAAAAAUAUAUGGAAGGAUUUGAGAUUUAGGUAAAGAAAUAUUAUUAAGCGUUAGUUAUUUUACAAUUCCAUAAUGGAAGGUUGAUAGGAAUUUGAAGGAUUUGAAUUAUAAUUCAAGAAUUAAACUAUUUGAUUUAUAAAUAAAAAAAAUAUUUUUAUUAAUUAAUUUAAGGACUGAAAAGUUACUUUAUUUAAACCAUACAAUAAAUAUUUGCCCAUGACUUUACAUAAUCUUAUCACAAAAAAAAAUAAAAUCAAUAAUUUUAAAACACUUUUUACAAAUAUCGUAAGAGAUUAGAAGAAAUCUUAUCACUCAUUAUUAUUGCUCCUUUUCUUUAAAUUUUUAUUAUACUCAAAAUAUAAAGUAUAUUUAUAAAUAAUUAUCAUAUUAUAAUAUCCAGAAAAAAAAUAUCACAAAAAACAUUUCACCUUUAUUUGCCCCCAAACAUUUGAAAAUACACUUUCACAAAUAUUGUCCCGAUUGAGGAAUCCCUAUAUAUAUUUAAUUAUUUUUAUGAUUUAAUUAUUCAUAUAUUAAAUUUACAUUAAUUAUCGUUAUAAUCUUUUGAAUAUAUUUUUAUUGAAAUAUUGAAAUAUUUAUAAUUUCAAAUUAGUUUAUAAGUACUUAUAUUAUCAUUUUCAUUUAUUUUCUAUUAUUUAACUAUUUAAAUUAUUAAACUUACAUAAAUUAUUAUCAUUCUCUUUUUUAAAUAAUUUUAAAAUUAAUUUUUCAUUGCAAAUGAAAAAUAAUUUAUUAUUUAAUGAAAUGUCAACUAUAUUACAUCUUAUUUUUCCUCUAUCUUUUUGCCUUUCCCUUUUCCUUAAUAAUAAUAAUAAUAAUUUUAAUGAAAGAAAAUUAUUUAAGGCAUUUGCAAUAUUUUUCAUCCCAUAAUACACAUUCUAAUUGAAAUCACUCAAAAUAGUCACAGCUUCAUAAUUGAGUAGAAAAAUAUCUCAAAUGACAAUUAGGCUCAUGCCAUUUCUAUAUAUAGAAAGCAAUGCCAAAGGACUUCAUGCAUCAUUAGAUUCAUUAGUGAUCAUAAGCAUCACCAGAAACUCUGUAUCUUUUUUUUUUUUCAAAAGCUAAAAAUGACACUAUGGGGCAAACUAGAGGCACAGUUUGGGAUCGAUGCUCCUGCAGAUCAGUUUCAUGAUGUCUUCAGUUGUCGACCACACCAUAUAUCCAAUAUGUCCCCUCACAAUAUUCAUGAUUGUGCUCUUCAUGAAGGUGAAUGGGGUAAGGAAGGCGCUAUUGUCUGCUGGAAAUAUUUCCAUGGUAAGCAUUUAAUCUUUUCCAAUUGUAUUUUUCUUUUUUUUUCUAAAAAUUAUUAAUAAAUAUAAAAAUGAAAAACAGAUGGGUCUGCUAAAGUGGCUAAGCAAGUAAUUGAAACCAUAGAUGAUGUGAAUUUGUUAACCGUCUUCAAAAUGAUCGAAGGAGAUCUGUUGAAGGAAUAUAAGAGUUUUAAGUUCACUGUUCAAGCUACGCCUAAAGGAGAGAGCAGCGUGGUGUGUUGGACCUUAGAAUAUGAGAAGAUCCAUGAGAAUAUACAAGAUCCUUACUCCUUGCUAGAGUUUAUUGUCCAAUUUAGUAAGGAUGUUUCUGCUCAUCUCGUGAAAUGUCCGAAGAAAUGAUCAUGAACAUGUUCUGCUUUAAUAUGUGAUUUGCAUAAUGAUUAAAUAAGUGCUCUAUAAUGAAGCACCAAUGACAAACAUAUUUGUGUAUGAACUUAUAUCUACAAUGUAUUAAAUCUUAAAACUAUGUUUGUGUUUUUUUUAAUGAUUACGCUUCCUUUAUUAACAUCUAUCUAAAUUUUUAAUGUCCGAUUGAUGUUGAUUCGACUUGAUUUAAAUCUAUUUUUUUUAAUUUUUUAUUAUAAAAAAUUAAAAAUUCAAAGCGAGCUCUAACAACUUAAAAUUUAAUAUAGAAUGAAAAAUACUCAUGAAAACUUAUCGACAUAAAUUAUGAUCUUUAUAUUCAGAAAUCUCUUCACCGGUCGUUUUUUCUAUUUCAAACAAUGAUCAGUAACAUUGAUCAAAUCUAAUUUUCCUAGAAUUUUCAAUCAAUUAUAAGUUUAUCAAGAUGUAUUGAAAAAUAAUUAAGUAUGAUACGUAAAAUUAGAAGACUAUGAUCUUAUGAAGGCACACUGAUAUAUAUCAUAAUUUAGAGGAUGUAGCCUUUGUUUGUUUAUAAAGAAUAAAAUUUUUAAAAAUAUUUAUUAUGAAAAAUAUUUUUUAAGAAUAAAAAUAAUUUUUAAGAAAAUUUUUAUUUAUUAUUUAUAUUAGUAUAAAAAAAAUAAAAAUAUGCAGCAAUCGCACAGAUAUAUAUAUAUAUAUAUAUUGUUUAAAAUAAAAGAAGAAAAUAUAAAUUCAUUUUUAUUAGAAUGAGAUAUAUAAUUAUUUAAGGCAUUGUAACAUUUUCCAUCCCAUAACACAAACCCUAAUUGAAAUCACUCACAAUAACCUCAUGUUCGGCCGCCGAACAUGGUGCGGUUGCGGAAGCUCCUUUGGCCCCCGAAGGUGGUCUUGCCAGCCACCUAUAAAAGGCUCCCUGUCCGAAAAUGGGCGAGUUUUCUCUCUCCAUUUUUGGGUAUAGGUGAAGCUCUGCCCUUCCAUGGUUGAUUUUAUAUUUUCCUUCAAGAUUUUUUAUAAGUUUUUGCUUUGUUUUGAAGAUUUUAAGCUUAAAUCAAAUUUUUUAAGCUUGGAGACCUCCGGAGACCAUUUUCUCCUCAUCUCUGAGUUCGGAUCACAUCUACUCUUGAUCUUCAAGAGGUAAGUGUAGAUCCUCAUCUAUUCUUAUGUUUUAAGUAAGUUUUAAAAGGGGUUAAGGGUAUAUAAUGCAUAUUUUUUAGUAGGAUAUUAUGUUAGGGUUUAUGUUAGCUUUAUGCUUAAUGUGAUGUUUAUGUGUUGUUUGUUGGGGUUUAGGCUAGUUUUAUGCCCCUUAUACAUGUUGAAAUGUGUAUGCAUAUUUUAAAAUAGUUGGAUAUGUGUUUUGGUGAGUUUUAGUGGCUUGGGCAUGGUGGCAGAAUCGGGUUCUGUCACCCAAGAAGACCCAUGUUCGACCGCCGAAGCAAGGAUCGGCCUCCGAACCUGCUAGAGGAGGCAACUUUGGCCGCCUAAACUCGCCCCCGAAAGAUGGACUUUUGGAUCUGUGGGGGAGUUUCGGCCGCCGAACUUGCCCCCGAAGGUUAGUGACUUUCGGAUCUGUGAAGGCCUUUGGCCGCCGAACCUGCCUCUGAAAGUGCCUGACUUUCGGAUCUGCAGGGGCUUUCGGCCGCCGAACCUGCCGCCGAAAGUCAUCUAUACAGCCUUCUUUUGCUUGUUUUCUAUGCAUGUUUUAUGAUAUUUUAGGGGGUUUUUGGGGAGAUGUUUAGUGUCAUGUUAGAGUUGGUUCGGUCCCUCAUUUGAGUCCACCUGUGUAGGAUAGGACCCGAGGAACCAAGGAAGCCAGCAGUGAGUUAGCUGUUCCAGAGCCAGCCAGAGGUGAGUAGAACUGAACUAUGUUUUAAAGUAACUAAAUUUUUCAGCAUGUUCAUGCAUCAUGAAUGCUAUGUUAUGUAUUAGGAUGUUUUGCAUUAGAAUUCACGAAUAUGAUGCAUUGCAUUUUUACUGUUGAUGUGGAUGGAUAUUGGAUGACUUACUAGCCCUCGAGAUGAUAUGAUAUGAUAUGAUAUGAUACGAAAGUUCAGGUCGAGGCCCAUUCUACGCCCCUGGCACGAUGUAAGAGAAAGUCUAGGUUGUAACAGCCCGGAAACCGAUACUCCUCUGUAACGGCCCGAACCGCUACCAGCGCUAGGAUCCAGAUCGGCUUAAGGCCGCCGGGACCCGUAGCAAGCCGAACAUACCUACUAUUACCUGGUCAAAUCCCAUACAUGAUCAAAACUUUAACAUAAAAACUGUAACAUAAGAUGUAUAGACCGAGCUUGACCUGUAUGCGACACAACUGGAAACAUAAAGAACCCCCUACUAGAGCCCUCAUCAAAACUCUAGCUGGGUCAACAUAACAUACAUCAAGCCGGAGACACAUCCAAAGAACUAGAACCUAACCUGUGCAUGCAUCAAACCACAAACAUAAGACCUCCACUAGGGUCCUCAUCAAAUACUCUAGCGUGGUAAACAACACAUGCCACUAUUUUGGUUCAACACAACUCAACAUUAAACCAAUACAUACAUCAUGUACUAAAAAGGGACUAACCAGACCUUAGGAACAAGCACAAUACUAAUUCAUAAACAUAACUCUACUUUACGUUGCAUUUCAUUACAUUAUCUUGCAAUACAUUAUAUCAAUUUAUAAUACAUGUCCACACUAAAAGUACUAAUCUAUUGCUAAAGCAAAGCCUUAACUCUUGAGACCUCCCGAACGACUGCAGACCUGCAACACUGGGGUUAGGGGAGAGGGGUGAGCUAAAAAGCCCAGUGAGUAGAAACAAAGAAAACAGUUCAUUAAUUACAUGCUUUCAUGAAAUGUGUCACAGCACAAACAUUUCACAUAACAGAUUGGACAUGACCACCAAAACUCCCUCUGUCUAUAACAUAACAUGGUGCCCGGCCCUUCGGGCUCCUCAAGACUUCAUUAUGCCCGGCCCUUCGGGCUCCUCAGGACUUCAUUAACAUAACAUAUCUAGGGCUAUUGGGGUCGCCUUGGUCCAUCCACAUCAACAGUAAAUAAUGCAAUGUGUCAUAUUCGUGUAACUAGUGCAAUCAACCUAUUACAUAUAAACAUGAUGCAUGAACAUGCUUUAGGCAUUUGAAUUUCGUAAAAUAAAGAUUUAGUUUCGUUCUACUCACCUCUGGCAGACGCUGAACUGACUCUGCAACUGCUAACACUGAUGGCCUCCUCGGUCCCUCGAGUCCGAUCCUACACAGGUGGACUCGAAUGAGGUGCCAAACACACUCUAACAACUCAUAAACAACUACCCAAAAACCCCCUAAAACAUCACUUAAACAUGCAUAGAAACAACCAUGAAAAGGCUGGACAGGGCACUUUCGGCGGCCGAACCCUUCCUCCAUAGACAAAACUCGGGCACUUUCGGCGGCACCUUCGGCGGCCGAAAGUCCCUCUCCAGAGACGAAAGUCGGGCACUUUCGGCUGCCGAACCUUCCUUCGGCGGCCGAAACUCUGCCUUCAAGCCAAAACUCAACUUUCGGGGGCAAGGUUAGGCGGCCAAUCCAUGCAUCCAUAGGCAGGUUCGGCGGCCGAAACUACCUUCGGCGGCCGAACCUGAGUUCAUCCAGAACUCAGCCUCUUAUGCAUUCAAGCCUCCCAAACCUUCCAAACACCCCAAAAAAGCACCCAACUUCCUAAAAACAUGCAUAAACCCUUAACCAUGCACAAAGGAGUUUAAACAAGCUUAAACUCCAACAAAGAACAUCAUAGAGCAUGCAUAGAGAGCUUAUGACCCUCAUAAGCCAAAACCAUCAAAACCACCCAAAACUUCACUUGCUCUUUCCCAAUCAUGCAUACACUCUCCCACAUGCAUAGACUAGCUUAAACCUUCAACAUAACUUCACAUAAACAAGCAUAAGCAUACAUUGGGCAUAAAACCCACAAAAACCUAAACAUGUAUAUCUACCUACACUCAACCAUUAAAACCUCUUAAAACUUCAUUAAAACAUAAAGGAAAUCAAAGAUCUACACUUACCUCUUGGAGAUCGAGGGUUGGUGUGAUCCCUAACUUGGAGAUGGGAGGAAACUACUCCUUGGGUCUCCAAGCUCUCAAAACUUAGAUCUAAGCUUGAAAACUCUUCAAAGCAACCAAGAAGCUCAUAAAAAUAUGAAGGAAAUGAAGAAAAACAUGAAAAUGACCAAAGGAGGACAUGAACACACCUGAGCUCGAGAGUGGGGGAGAAAACUCGCCCAUUUUCGAUCUGAGGGCUUUUAUAGGUGGCCUGGUCAAAGACCUUCGGCAGCCUAACAUGCCCCCUAAACUCAUACAUGUUCGGCGGCCAAACUUGAGGUUCAGCGGCCGAACCUGGUUUCUGCCCUCAAGACUUUCGAAAGCCUAAAGCACUCCCGAAACAGCCCUAUGUUCGGCGGCCGAACCUGGCAAAUGCCUCCUUGGCCUAUUCUUUUCAAAACUCAAUUUCUUUUCUAUUUAAAACCAUAAAAUCAGUAAAACAUUUUUGAAAACACAUUUUACCCCUCUAGAAGACUCUGGCAUCUUCAAAAUUCCCGGUUCCAACGGAGAUUCCGUCGGAAGGUAGGGAUUUCGAUGCCGGAAUCUAGCCGGGUAUUACAUUCUUCCCCCCUUUAAGAACAUUCAUCCCCGAAUGUUACACAAACAAACAGGCAUUCUCAAAACAUAACAUCAAGCAAGCAAACAAGCAAGCAAACCUAAAACCCUUUCUCUAAAGAGAGACACAGAUACUACUGGAGCAAGAACUUCCGGGUCUCCCAGGCACACCUUAUCCCAAAAGAAACACCUUAGCAAUACCCAACCUUCUCCUAAACUCCACUGGCUUCCGCUGCGCUUCUCUGAUCCUUACUCUUUUCUCUUCAUCUUCACUAACUGGCUUCUUCUCACUGCUAACCCAAAACUAACUCUACCUCUCACAGGUAGUACCCGGAUUUCAGAUCUAUCUUGGAAAACAAAUAGCUCCGACUAGCUGUCCCAAUAGAUCAUCCAUCCUGCAUGGGAAUACCUGCCCUUAGUAGUGACCUUGGUCAACUGCUUACAGUUGUUACAAAGUCUCAAGGAUUCAUCCUUCUUUUCCCUCCACCACACUGGAACAAUCCAGGGUGAGGUACUAGGUUGGAUAAAACCCCUGUCUACCAAGUCUCGCCUCUACUCUGACUACUACCUUUCUCUAUGCUGGCGCCAUCCUGUAGGGGAGAAUAGAAAUGGUUUUAGGUCCAGACACCACUCCUAUGCUCAACUCUAACUCCCUGACAGGUGGUAAACCUGACAACUAGCCCGGGAAAACAACUAAGAACUCUCUCUAACAACUAACACUGAGGCUGGUUCCCCGACCUGACUGCUAAACUCUCAACAAGAACUCGAACCCUCUGACAACCCCUCCUACGCACCCUACGAACCUGACAGGCUGACAUCAAACCUCUAGGCAUCCCUACUGUGUUCCCUCAACAGACUACCUCUGACCCAUCCUGUCCUCUGAACUUGACUACCUUGUCUCUACAGACCAAGAUAGCACCACGAGCAGAAACCAAUCCAUCCCUCGAUUGACGUCCAGACAGUCAAGUCUAGGACCUCAAAGUCGGCUGGAAGGCAUCUACCCUCAACUGGCACUGAACUGGACCGGCAGACUGACUCUGCCACAGAUGGAUCACACUUGGGUCCACUGACCCAAGGAAAACACUCUAGCCCAGAAGCUAUUAACUCAACCUCUCGACGGCUCCUAGAGCAACUAAAGAAAGAGAAACUCCAGGGUUCACAAAACAUACACAUCAGAACAUUCAAAAGUGAGCGUACCUGGCACCACCAUGUUCGAUGUGUCUGCCUCCUGCUGAGCUUGGGUGAAGAUUCGAGCUGAAGCUGACGGACCUUCUCCACGGGAACCUUCAAAAGAAAAGGCUGACCCUCUUCCUCUGCCUCGACCACUAACCUGAACCAUGGCUGGAGCUGCUGGCUGAGCCAUUCUACCUGAAGUUGCCCGCUGAGACUGUGCCAACUAGGGAGCAAUGGGACACUCACGUACCAUGCGCCCUUCCUGACCACAUCUAAAACAUAGAUUAGUCCCAAUCAGACAGACUCCCUUGUGCGGCCUUCCGCACCUCAUGCAUCUUGAAUUGCCUGAGCCAGAGCUUGAGCCACUAAAACCCAGACUAGCCUUUAAAUUCUUCCAAAACUUCUUCUUCUUCCCCCUCAGGGUUCUGCCCCACUUCUUGCUUUUCGUGGAGGCUGUACUCAGAGUGGAGGGAUCAAUCCCUCCUGAACCCGAGAUUCUGGAAUCCUGAGUCCGAGCAUCCUCCUGAGAAUCUCCCAUACCUUCUUCUGGCACUCUGAUUCCCAAACUGACAUCUCUUCUCUGAACACCCAACUCUACUUCCCUCAUACUAGCUGACAUCCUUCUUGGAGCCAUUCCUUCUCUGCUUACAUCAAAAGACCUUCCAGGGUCCCUUGAUGUUCCCCAUCUGCUGACUCCCCACGACUGCGCUCUUGGCAGAGCAGGGGGAAAGGUAUCCAUACCUUCCCUCUCAGAUGGAACUCCAGUCGAUUCCACAGAUCGACAAGCACCUCGCAUUCUGGCUCCUCUGAAGAACAACACACAAGCAUACAAACAAUCAUCAGCAUCAUACGAUUCAGGUGGAAACACAUGAACCUACAACAAACAUAGCAUACAUAGCAUAUCAUACAUACAUACAUAGCAUAACAUCAUGGCAUUUCACAUCAUCAUUCAUACAAGACUCCACAUCCUAUCCUAGUGGACAUGAUUCUUCCUAUUGUGCUUGCCCUUCUAUGACCUCUAAACCAACCUCGUUCUGAUGUGGGAUACCUCUAAUCCUUAAGCAUCUUUGCUCAACACACCGUACUGAUGAGGCCCAAAGCUCUGAUACCACUCUGUAACGGCCCGAACCGCUACCAGCGCUAGGAUCCAGAUCGGCUUAAGGCCGCCGGGACCCGUAGCAAGCCGAACAUACCUCCUAUUACCUGGUUAAAUCCCAUACAUGAUCAAAACUUUAAUAUAAAAACUGUAACAUAAGAUGUAUAGACCGAGCUUGACCUGUAUGCGACACAACUGGAAACAUAAAGAACCCCCUACUAGAGCCCUCAUCAAAACUCUAGCUGGGUCAACAUAACAUACAUCAAGCCGGAGACACAUCCAAAGAACUAGAACCUAACCUGUGCAUGCAUCAAACCACAAACAUAAGACCUCCACUAGGGUCCUCAUCAAAUACUCUAGCGUGGUAAACAACACAUGCCACUAGUUUGGUUCAACACAACUCAACAUUAAACCAAUACAUACAUCAUGUACUAAAAAGGGACUAACCAGACCUUAGGAACAAGCACAAUACUAAUCCAUAAACAUAACUCUACUUUAUGUUGCAUUUCAUUACAUUAUCUUGCAAUACAUUAUAUCAAUUUAUAAUACAUGUCCACACUAAAAGUACUAAUCUAUUACUAAAGCAAAGCCUUAACUCUUGAGACCUCCCGAACGACUGCAGACCUGCAGCACUGGGGUUAAGGGAGAGGGGUGAGCUAAAAAGCCCAGUGAGUAGAAACAAAGAAAACAGUUCAUUAAUUACAUGCUUUCAUGAAAUGCGUCACAGUACAAACAUUUCACAUAACGGAUUGGACAUGACCACCAAAACUCCCUCUGUCUAUAACACAACAUGGUGCCCGGCCCUUCAGGCUCCUCAGGACUUCAUUAUGCCCGGCCCUUCGAGCUCCUCAGGACUUCAUUAACAUAACAUAUCUAGGGCUAUUGGGGUCGCCUUGGUCCAUCCACAUCAACAGUAAAUAAUGCAAUGCGUCAUAUUCGUGUAACUAGUGCAAUCAACCUAUUACAUAUAAACAUGAUGCAUGAACAUGCUUUAGGCAUUUGAAUUUCGUAAAAUAAAGAUUUAGUUUCGUUCUACUCACCUCUGGCAGACGCUGAACUGACUCUGCAACUGCUAACACUGAUGGCCUCCUCGGUCCCUCGGGUCCGAUCCUACACAGGUGGACUCGAAUGAGGUGCCAAACACACUCUAACAACUCAUAAACAACUACCCAAAAACCCCCUAAAACAUCACUUAAACAUGCAUAGAAAACAACCGUGAAAAGGCUGGACAGGGCACCUUCGGCGGCCGAACCCUUCCUCCAGAGACGAAACUCGGGCACUUUCGACGGCCGAACCUUCCUUCAGCGGCCGAAAGUCUGCUUUCAAGCCAAAACUCAACUUUCGGGGGCAAGGUUAGGCGGCCAAUCCAUGCAUCCAUAGGCAGGUUCGGCGGCCGAAACUACCUUCGGCGGCCGAACCUGAGUUCAUCCAGAACUCAGCCUCUUAUGCAUUCAAGCCUCCCAAACCUUCCAAACACCCCAAAGAAGCACCCAACUUCCUAAAAACAUGCAUAAACCCUUAACCAUGCACAAAGGAGUUUAAACAAGCUUAAACUCCAACAAAGAACAUCAUAGAGCAUGCAUAGAGAGCCUAUGACCCUCAUAAGCCAAAACCAUCAAAAUCACCCAAAACUUCACUUGCUCUUUCCCAAUCAUGCAUACACUCUCCCACAUGCAUAGACUAGCUUAAACCUUCAACAUAACUUCACAUAAACAUACAUAAACAAGCAUAAGCAUACAUUGGGCAUAAAACCCACAAAAACCUAAACAUGUAUAUCUACCCACACUCAACCAUUAAAACCUCUUAAAACUUCAUUAAAACAUAAAGGAAAGCAAAGAUCUACACUUACCUCUUGGAGAUCGAGGGUUGGUGUAUCCCUAACUUGGAGAUGGGAGGAAACUACUCCUUGGGUCUCCAAGCUCACAAAACUUAGAUCUAAGCUUGAAAACUCUUCAAAGCAACCAAGAAGCUCAUAAAAAUAUGAAGGAAAUGAAGAAAAACAUGAAAAUGACCAAAGGAGGACAUGAACACACCUGAGCUCGAGAGUGGGGGAGAAAACUCGCCCAUUUUCGGUCUAAGGGCUUUUAUAGGUGGCCUGGUCAAAGACCUUCGGCAGCCUAACGUGCCCCCUAAACUCAUGCAUGUUCGGUGGCCGAACUUGAGGUUCGGCGGCCGAACCUGGUUUCUGCCCUCAAGACUUUCGGAAGCCUAAAGCACUCCAGAAACAGCCCUAUGUUCGGCGGCCGAACCUGGCAAAUGCCUCCUUGGCCUAUUCUUUUCAAAAAUCAAUUUCUUUUCUAUUUAAAACCAUAAAAUCAGUAAAAUAUUUUUGAAAACACAUUUUACCCCUCUAGAAGACUCUGGCAUCUUCAAAAUUCCCGGUUCCAACGAAGAUUCCACCAGAAGGUAGGGAUUCCGAUGCCGGAAUCUAGCCGGGUAUUACACAGGUGUUGGGAAAUCCUGAGAUUAUUGCAAUCCAAUUGCGCAGCGGAAAAAUAAAAUUUUGGAUUUCCUUUCCAGAAUCCGAGUGCUUCGUUUAAAUCAUAAGAAUAAUAUGAGACUAACCUGUUAAUCUUAUAAGAAAGAUACACUGGCGGACUGAUGGUGCUGUCUUUUCAAACGAACACCCUCUAUGGUAUCCACACGAACGUCUUCUAUCCUUCUAGAGUGCUAGCUCUUUCAAAGAUGGAUAGAUCAUGUGCUCCACAAUCUGCAAUCUUUUAAACUGAGUUUUCUCAAAACUUAACAUCAACUUACUCAAUCUGUAGAAGGAGUAUUUAUAUGUCUCAGUCUUUUAUUUUCACACAACUCCUUUUCCUAAAAGGAGUUGUGUUUUUCCUAAAAGAAUUGUACAACUCUUUUCCUAAAAGAAUUGUACAACUCUUUUCCUAAAAGAGUUGUGUUCAGAACCCACUAUCACAAUCUCACAGAUACUCAAAAUAUCUUUAUGUGAUAGAGUCCUUUAUCUGUAACAGUUACAGAUAGACUGCAGAUCUUUUAAAUAUUAUUAUUUCAUAAUAAUAAAUAAUUAAUAUUAAUAAUAAUAACACAUUAUUAUUAUUAAUUAUACUAAUGGGCUUUUAGCCCAUUAAUAUAGCACAUCAACAACGUUCUUGUGUGUGACCCAAUAGGCUCAUAUUAAUUGGCAAUAGGCCCAGUUCAACAAGGCCUAUAAAUCAUAAGUGGCCUCUAGCAAGACAUUAUGACUACCCAACUAAUAUGAGGAUCAAUAGUCCGAUAAAGCCUAUUAAAUAGAACAUAUAUUAAUCCCUUUGUGACACGAUAUCUAGUUUGAACAUAAGUCAUGGUCAAUGUCAAACUUAUAAUGUUCAAACUUAUGAUUUCUCGAUCUCUAAGUAGACUGAUAAAUUCAAAUGAUAUUGAUCGCACUAUCAAUUCAUUUGAGCAUGGCCAUGCAUUUCUCAGUCUCACUUAUCGAGGGGCCCAAAAGAUAUCUCUCUCAUAGAGAGGGACAAAUCCUAUCUUGACUGUUCAUUUUCCUCUACAUAAUUUCUAUUAUGCUCAAUCAUAACCUUUAUGAUUGUCCGAUUAAAAACAACGUUUGGUUAUGUCAAAACAUAACAGUCCUUAUGUUGGAAACUAUGACAAUCUCAAGUCAAAGGAUUAAGACAUAACUACUUUGAGAUUCACUUAUGACAAUGACCCAUGUAGUGAUCUCAAUGCGGGUCCAUCCAAUACUUUGUUCUCUAACAAGUAUUUAUGAUUAUUGAAUUAUAUCAACAUAUACAUAAUCAUCUCAUGAUUAUCAAUCAAUAAUCAUACCAGUUAUAUUUUAUUAUUAUCAACAUAAUAAUAAGUAAUCAGGGAUGAUAAUCAUUAUUAUGUAACAUGCAAAUAAAUAAUAAUGAUAAAAACCUCUUUUAUUAAUGACCAAAACGACAUACAUAAAGGUCCAAGAUAAUAGCCUAGGGCAUAUACACUAACAAUCUCCCACUUGCACUAGGCCUAAUCAUAUAAGUAUCUAAUAUCCAUAGACCUAGUGUGUUGAUCAUGCUUGACCUGUGAAAGAGGCUUGGUCAGUGGAUUUGCAAUGUUGUCAUUUGUGUCUACUUUGCAUAUUUUGAUAUCUCCUCUAUCAAUGAUCUCUCGAAUAAGGUGAUAUCGCCUGAGUAUAUGUUUAGAUCUCUGGUGAGAUCUGGGCUCCUUUGCCUGUGCUAUGGCACCGUUAUUACCAUAAUAAAGGUCCAUAGGAUUUGCAAUGCUAGGAACCAUUCCCAUCUCUGAGAUGAAUUUCUUCAACCAAACUGCCUUUUUAGCUGCAUCUGAUGCUGCUAUAUACUCAGCUUCUAUUGUAGAAUCUGCUAUAGUGCUCUGCUUGGAACUCUUCCAACUAACAACUCCACCAUUUAAAGUGAAUACGAAUCCUGACUGCGAUCUGAAGUCAUCUAUGUCGGUUUGGAAACUAGCAUCUGUGUAACCACUUACAACUAACUCGUCUUCCAAACCUCCAUAAAUUAGGAAUGCAUCCUCAGUCCUUCUAAGGUACUUUAGGAUAUUCUUAACAGCUGUUCAGUGACCUUCACCGGGAUCUGCCAUAUAUUUGCUCGUUGUACUCAAGGCAUAUGAGACAUCUGGUUUGGUACAUAACAUGGCAUACAUGAUAGAUCCAAUAGCAGAAGCAUAAGGGAUCUUAUUCAUCCGUUCUAGCUCAUCAGAUGUCAUAGGACAUUGAUUCUUGCUGAGAUGAAUACCAUGAGAUAUGGGCAAGAAUCCUCUUUUGCAAUCUUGCAUGCUGAACCUUUUCAGCACCUUGUCAAUAUAAGUACUUUGACUCAGACCUAUUAUCCUCUUGGAUCUAUCCCUAUAGAUCUUAAUACCAAGGAUAUAUGCGGCCUCACCUAAUUCCUUCAUUGAAAAAGAAUUCCCAAACCAAGUCUUAACCUUUUGCAAGGUAGGGAUAUCAUUUCCAAUGAUUAAUAUGUCAUCCACAUAUAAGACUAGAAACACAACUACACUCCCACUAACCAUCUUGUAAACACAAGGUUCAUCUUCAUCAAUGAGCAAAGGUUCACGAUUAUCAGUCAUGAGAAAUCCAUAUCUCUCAUGCUAAUGACGUGUCCUAUCAGAUCUGCGUGGGACUUGUGUCACCCUUUCAGUUUCCACAACUGUUUGUGGUUCUGAAAGUGGUUCUAUCGGCGGUUCAAUGCUCUCUUGUGGUGCUUGAGUUUCCUCAAGUCGCGCUGUACUCCCACUGAAUCUCUGAGAGAUAAAUUCCUUUUCCAAAAAGGUACCAUUUCGAGCAACAAACACUUUGUUCUUUGAGGGAGUAUAGAAGUAGUAUCCUUUGGUUUCCUUAGGAUACCCCACAAAAUUGCACUUGAUAGAUUUUGGAGCUAGCUUAUCUGAAAUCGGGCGUUUCACAUAAGCCUCACAACCCCAAAUCUUAAGAAAAGACAAAUUGGGCAUUUUCCCAGUUCAUAACUCAUAUGGUGUCUUUUCAACCGCUUUCGAUGGUACUCGGUUUAAAAUGAAUACAGUUGUUUCCAAGGCAUAACCCCAAAACGAUAAAGGGAGAUUCGUUGGACUCAUCAUAGAUCAAACCAUAUCUAAUAAAGUUCGAUUUCUCAUUUCAGAAAUACCAUUCCAUUGUGGACUUUCUGGAGGAGUUAAUUGUGAAACAAUUCCACAGUUUCUAAGAUGUUCAUCAAACUCUUGGCUCACAUAUUAACCACCUCGAUCAGAUCGAAGCAUUUUAAUAGUUCUACCAAGUUGAUUUUGUACUUCAUUUUGAAAAAUUCUAAACAUUUCAAAAGAUUCAUGCUUGUGUUUCAUUAGGUAGACAUAGCCAUACCUACUGAAAUCAUCAGUGAAUGUAAUGAAGUACUGAUAACCUCCCCUAGCACUAAUACUUAGUGGGCCACAUACAUCUGUAUGUACUAAGCCCAAUAAGUCUGAAGCCCUUUGACCUUGUUCAGUAAAAGGGUCCUUUGUCAUCUUACCAAGCAAACAAGAUUCACAAUUUUCAAAUGAUUCAAAAUCAAAUGAAUCUAAUAAACCAUCUUUAUGGAACUUAGAUAUGCGAUUCUCAUUUAUAUGGCUAAGACGACAGUGCCAUAAAUAUGUUGGGUUUAACUCAUUUGGCUUAGUUUUCUUAGAAGUUAUGUUAUAGAUAUUAUUGUCUCUAGAAUCAUAUAGAUUAAGGACAUAAAGGCCAUCAUAUGAAUUUGCAAUACAAUAAAGCAAAUCAUCUUUAUUAAUGGAGCAUUUCUUAUUCUUAAUAAGAAAUGAAAAACCUUCAUCGUCCAAAACAGAAACUGAAAUAAUAUUCCUACUCAAAGUAGGAACAUAAAAGCAAUUGUUCAGAACUAGCAAAAGCCCAUUGGGCAACACAAGUUCAUAUGUCCCUACAGCUAUGGCAGCAACUCUUGCUCCAUUGCCUACAUGUAGGUCCACAUCGCCCUUUUUCAGUUUUCUACUCCUUUUGAGACUCUGCACAUUUGCACAAAUGUGAGAACCAUAUCCGGUAUCUAAUACCCAUGAAGUAGAAAUAGAUAAAUUAAUAUCUAUAACAUAAAUACCUGAAGUCGUAGUCUCACUACUCUUCUUCUUCUUGCACUCAUCCAAAUAGAGUUUGCAAUUUCUCUUCCAAUGCCCUGGUUCCUUGCAAUGGAAGCAAAUUCCUUCUUUAGGUACUAUUUCCUUAGGAAAUUUUUGCCUUGGAUUGCCAUUUAGGCUUGCUUCGUCCCUUAGGCCCAUUACCACCUUUAGACUUGGGCUUCCUCUUAUUUUUCAUGGGCUUACCCUUAUUGACAUUCAAAUUUUGGGUAGGCCUUUUCCCAACAUUUAUCUCAGCUGUCUUUAGCAUUCCAUGCAGCUCAGGAAUGAAUUUCUCCAUAUUGUUCAUGUUUAUAGUUCAUGACAAACUAAGAAAAAUGCCAGGUAAAGAUUGUAGGAUCAAAUCCGUAGAGAGUUCUAAACUCAGAGGAUAGCCAAGCCUAGCAAGGUGAUCAAUGUAGCCUUUCAUCUUUAAAACAUGAGCACUAACUGAAUCACCUUCAGCCAUUAUGCAAUCAUGCAAUGCGAUGGUGGUUUCAUACUUGUCCUGCCUAGCUUGUUGUUGGAAAGCCUGUUUGAGAUGGACACUCAUCUCAUAGGCCUCAAGGUGCUCCAGAUCCUUCUAAAGUUCUGGGCACAUAGUUGCCAAUAUAAGACAUCCAAUGUCAUUAGAAUCAUCCAUAUGCUUCUUAUGCUUGUUCUUAACAGCAUUAGUAGCAUCAGCAGGAGGUGGUUCAGGGAAAGUUUCAUCAAGCACGUAGGACUUUUACUCUUGCUUGAGAACAAUUCUCAAGUUUCUAAACCAGUCAACAAAAUUAGUCCCAUUUUCUUUCAGUUUAUCCUUCUCAAGGAUAGAUCGCAGUGAUAAGAUGGAAUUGUUAUUAGCAACCAUAAUUAUCUACAAAAAUAUGCAAACAUAAUUAAUUUAGUAAACAAAUUAAUAUUGAGGUGAUAAUAAUCUCCCACUAAAAUAUAACCCUCAAAAUAAUAAUAAUAUUUUAGUGGGCUAAGAUCCAUAUUUCACCUAAUUCUAAGUCAGCUUUGGCAUGACGCUUAGAAUUAAGUUAUUUAGGUAGGUAACCCCUUACCAAUUACAUCUAAUGUAACUCUUAAAUUAUGAGGUAUUGACAUCAUAUGUUAAAUGCAUGUUAUACCCCAUCUAAUACCUUAGGCCCAAAACCGUUUUGAUAGCCUAAUUAAGCUCAACCAAAAUUAAAUAAAUUAGUAACCAUUACUCAUCCUACCUUACUAGGAUAACCUAAUGCACUUUGCUUUGGCAAAACCUGCAUUUUGGUGAUCUUAGUCUUGAUAGGUUUUUAAUAUAUGGGUGGCAUUAAAAUUUAAAAUUUUAGAGUGAGGGUUCAAUUUUAAUUUUAAUUAUUUUAUCUUACAUAUGUAUAUAUAUUAUAGCAUCCAAUAUGUAUAUAUAUAUAUAUAUAUAUAUAUAUAUAUAUAUAUAUAUAUAUAUANNNNNNNNNNNNNNNNNNNNNNNNNNNNNNNNNNNNNNNNNNNNNNNNNNNNNNNNNNNNNNNNNNNNNNNNNNNNNNNNNNNNNNNNNNNNNNNNNNNNNNNNNNNNNNNNNNNNNNNNNNNNNNNNNNNNNNNNNNNNNNNNNNNNNNNNNNNNNNNNNNNNNNNNNNNNNNNNNNNNNNNNNNNNNNNNNNNNNNNNNNNNNNNNNNNNNNNNNNNNNNNNNNNNNNNNNNNNNNNNNNNNNNNNNNNNNNNNNNNNNNNNNNNNNNNNNNNNNNNNNNNNNNNNNNNNNNNNNNNNNNNNNNNNNNNNNNNNNNNNNNNNNNNNNNNNNNNNNNNNNNNNNNNNNNNNNNNNNNNNNNNNNNNNNNNNNNNNNNNNNNNNNNNNNNNNNNNNNNNNNNNNNNNNNNNNNNNNNNNNNNNNNNNNNNNNNNNNNNNNNNNNNNNNNNNNNNNNNNNNNNNNNNNNNNNNNNNNNNNNNNNNNNNNNNNNNNNNNNNNNNNNNNNNNNNNNNNNNNNNNNNNNNNNNNNNNNNNNNNNNNNNNNNNNNNNNNNNNNNNNNNNNNNNNCGCGACCCACGGGGAGGCGCGACCCUCCAGUCGCGCUACCCCCCGGGUUGCGCGACCACCGGUCGCGCGACCCACGGGGGGGCGCGACCCUCCGGUCGCGCGAUCCCCUGGUCGCGCGGCCCUCCGCGGCGUGCGGCCUUCCGUCAGUGCAACGCCGGUGACAGGCGUCCGACGCCCGUCAUUGGGUGUCCUCUGAUUGACCAUGGCGAGGAACACGAUUUUUCCAGAAAUUGAUUUCCUUUUUUUUUUUUAUAAUUUUUAUUAUUGUUGUUUUAAUUUUAACAAUUAAAACUUAAAACAACGAAUCAAAACAAUUUUGAUUCUAGAUGUAAAAGAAAAUUUUUAAUUUAAUUUUUUUAACAAUCUAAAUGAUCCAAUCAUUCAUCCAUAAAUUUAACCAUAAUUAUCAUGUCAUUUUAAUAAACAUAUAUCGUAUAUAUAAUAUCAAUCGUGACAUAAUUAAUUUAAACGAAAAAUACAGAUAGUCUCUGAUAUCACUGUUGGGAAAUCCUGAAAUUAUUGCAAUCCAAUUGCGCAGCAAAAAAAUAAAAUUUUGGAUUUCCUUUCCAGAAUCCGAGUGCUUCGUUUAAAUCAUAAGAAUAAUAUGAGACUAACAUGUUAAUCUUAUAAGAAUACACUGGCGGACUGAUGGUGCUGCCUUUUUAAACGAACACCCUCUAUGGUAUCCACACGAACGUCUUCUAUCCUUCUAGAGUGCUAGCUCUUUCAAAAAUGGAUAAAUCAUGUGCUCCACAAUCUACAAUCUUUUAGACUGAGUUUUCUCAAAACUUAACAUCAACUUACUCAAUCUGUAGAAGGAGUAUUUAUAUGUCUCAGUCUUUUAUUUUCACACAACUCCUUUUCCUAAAAGAAGUUGUGUUUUUCUUAUAAUUCUUUUCCUAAAAGAAUUGUACAACUCUUUUCCUAAAAGAGUUGUGUUCAGAACCCACUAUCACAAUCUCACAGAUACUCAAAAUAUCUUUAUGUGAUAGAGUACUUUAUCUGUAACAGUUACAGAUAGACUGCAGAUCUUUUAAAUAUUAUUAUCUCAUAAUAAUAAAUAAUUAAUAUUAAUAAUAAUAACACAUUAUUAUUAUUAAUUAUACUAAUGGGCUUUUAGCCCAUUAAUAUAGCACAUCAACAACGUUCUUGUGUGUGACCCAAUAGGCUCAUAUUAAUUGGCAAUAGGCCCAGUUCAAUAAGGCCUAUAAAUCAUAAGUGGCCUCUAGCAAGACAUUAUGACUACCCAACUAAUAUGAGGAUCAAUAGUCCGAUAAAGCCUAUUAAAUAGAACAUGUAUUAAUCCCUUUGUCACACGAUAUCUAGUUUGAACAUAAGUCAUGAUCAAUGUCAAACUUAUAAUGUUCAAACUUAUGAUUUCUCGAUCUGUAAGUAGACUGAUAAAUUCAAAUGAUAUUGAUCACACUAUCAAUUCAUUUGAGCAUGGCCAUGCAUUUCUCAGUCUCACUUAUCGAGGGGCCCAAAAGAUAUAUUUCUCAUAGAGAGGGACAAAUCCUAUCUUGACUGUUCAUUUUCCUCUACAUAAUUUCUAUUAUGCUCAAUCAUAACCUUUAUGAUUAUCCGAUUAAAGACAACGUUUGGUUAUGUCAAAACAUAACAGUCCUUAUAUUGGAAACUAUGACAAUCUCAAGUUAAAUGAUUAAGACAUAACUACUUUGAGAUUCACUUAUGACAAUGACCCAUGUAGUGAUCUCAAUGCGGGUCCAUCCAAUACUUUGUUCUCUAACAAGUAUUUAUGAUUAUUGAAUUAUAUCAACAUAUACAUAAUCAUCUCAUGAUUAUCAAUCAAUAAUCAUACCAGUUAUAUUUUAUUAUUAUCAAUAUAAUAAUAAGUAACCAGGGAUGAUAAUCAUUAUUAUGUAACAUGCAAACAAAUAAUAAUGAUAAAAAUCUCUUUUAUUAAUGAACAAAACGACAUAUAUAAAGGUCCAAGAUAAUGGCUUAGGGCAUAUACACUAACAGGUAUUACACAGGUCGAGGCCCAUUCUAAGCCCUUGGCACAGUUGGACAUGUUAUGUUAUAUUUAAGAAGAAGUUCUGAGUAGCUCCGUUGAGAGCCGGACAUUAUUUGGAUAUGUAUAGGGUUACUGGUGACAAGUCCAUCCGUGAUGUGAAUUGUUUGUUUGUAGUGCAUUUCAUAAAAGCAUAUAUUUAUUAAAUUGUUUUAUUGUUCUGAUCACUGGAUUUUAGUAGCUUACUCCUUUGCCCCUAACCCCCAGAUUUGCAGGUCAGAGAUAGCACAGGAGGUCGGCAAUGGUGAUAUUUAUGUUGAUGUAAUAGAUAGUAGUGGACAUGUAAUAUGUAAUGGUUAGAUUUGUGUUUUGCCCUAAUUUAUGUUUUUGUUAAAAAUAAAUUUUUAUUUGUAAAAAUAAUUUAAUAUUUUUAUCAGUAAAAUAAUUUUUAUUAAUCAUUUCUUUUGAAUAUUCUUAAACAUAAAAAAAUUGAAAGAUAUUUUAGCCGCGUAAUUUCCUCUGAAAUUCAUUGAAGCUAGAAGUAGCAGCACUUUUAGAUUAUGUAUAUAUUCACAUUUUCAUUUAUUAAUUAUAUAUAUAUAUAAAUUAAAUAUGGGAUUUACUAUAAUUUAAAAUAAUAUAUUAUAUAUUAAAAUUUCCAUGGCACCCUCUUCGAGUAGCUAGAAAUACCUAAUCUUAUAUAAAAAAUAAAUAUUUUACUUAAACUUUAAUAAAAAUAUUUUAUUUAAUUAUUAAGACUAACUCGCUUUUAUAUAUGAAUUUAAAUAAUUUAAAUUAAAUUUUAACUAAAUUUUAAAAUAAAUUUAACACAAAAAAGAGCCAAUUCACAAUUUAUCUUAUUACUUUUAUUCGUAGUAAUUGUUUUAUCUCACAAAUAAUUUUAACUAAAGUGAGUGAUAAACAUAUUUAGAGUAUUUAGUUCAAACUGAAAAAAUUGAUCAAAUUUAAUUAAUUUAAAAAUUCAGUUUGAUUUUUUAUUCAGUUUAGUUCAAUUUAAUUUUUAAUUUCAAAAAUUUUGAUUAAAUUUGGUACAAUUUUAUCAGAAAAAAAUGAAAAAACCAAAAUGAACCGAUUAGUGAUAAUAGUAUAUUAUUUUCAAUAAUAUAGAGAUUAAAUCAUAUUAAUGUUAAAAUAUUUUAAUUAAAUUUUAAAAUAUUAAAAAUAAAAUGUAAAAUAUAAAAAAUUUAUUAGAGGUUCAAACCGAUCAAAUGAAAUUGAAUCAAAUCGAAUCAUAUUGGUUUAUUUCUAUUUGAUUUUUUAUUAAAAUCAAUUCAAUUUUCAUAAAUAUCAAAAUUUUAAAUUUUAUAUUAUUCAAUUCCAUUUGAUUUUGAAUUAAAUCGAUCAAAUGCUCACUCAGAAUAUAUGGUGUGAAAAAGAUUGCUUAAAUGUUAGAUUCAUUAUUACUUGAGUUUCAAUUAGAUUUUUUAAAUUAUUUUAUUUAGUUAAAUAACUCUAUUUAAUUACCAAUAAAAUAUAUGGAAGGAUUUGAGAUUUAGGUAAAGAAAUAUUAUAAUUCAAGAAUUAAACUAUUUGAUUUAUAAAUAUAAAAAAAAUAUUUUUAUUAAUUAAUUUAAGGACUGAAAAGUUACUUUAUUUAAACCAUACAAUAAAUAUUCGCCCAACUUUACAUAAUCUUAUUACAAAUAAAAAAAUCAAUAAUUUUAAAACACUUUUUACAAAUAUCGUAAGAGAUUAAAAGAAAUCUUAUCACUCAUUAUUAUUGCUCCUUUUCUUUAAAUUUUUAUUAUACUCAAAAUAUAAAGUAUAUUUAUAAAUUUUUUUAUAAAUAAUUAUCAUAUUAUAAUAUCCAGAAAAAAAUAUCACAAAAAACAUUUCCCCCAAACAUUUGAAAAUACACUUUUACAAAUAUUGUCCCCGAUUAAGGAAUCCCUCUAUAUAUUUAAUUAUUUUUAUGAUUUAAUUAUUCAUAUAUUAUAUUUAUUUUGAAUAUAUUUUUAUUUAUAUUUUUAUUAAAAUAUUGAAAUAUUUAUAAUUUCAAAUUAGUUUAUAAGUAUUUAUAUUAUCAUUUUAAUUUAUUUUCUAUUAUUUAACUAUUUAAAUUAUUAAACUUACAUAAAUUAUUAUCAUUCUCUUUUUUAAAUAAUUUUAAAAUUAAUUUUUCAUUGCAAAUGAAAUUUAAUUUAUUAUUUAAUGAAAUGUCAAUUAUAUUACAUCUUAUUUUUCCUCUAUCUUCUUGCCUUUUCCUUUUCCUUAACCAAUAUUUUACUAUACAUUCACUUAAUAAUAAUAAUAAUAAUUUUAAUGAAAGUAAAUUAUUUAAGGCAUUUGCAAUAUUUUUCAUCCCAUAAUACACAUUCUAAUUGAAAUCACUCAAAAUGACAAUUAGGCUCAUGCCACUUCUAUAUAUAGAAAGCAAUGCCAAAGGACUUCAUGCAUCAUUAGAUUCAUCAGUGAUCAUAAGCAUCACCAGAAACUCACUCUGUAUCUUUCUUUUUUCAAAAACUAAAAAUGACAUUAUGGGGCAAAUUAGAGAUACAUUUUUGGAUCGAUGCUCCUGCAGAUCAGUUUCAUGAUGUCUUCAGUUCCCAACCAUACCUUAUACCCAAUAUGUCCCCUCACAAAAUUCUUGGUGUUGAUCUUCUUGAAGGUGAAUGGGGUAAGGAAGGCACUAUUAUCUGCUGGAAAUAUUUCUAUGGUAAGCGUUUAAUCUUUUUCAAUUGUAAUUUUUUUAAAAAAAAAAAAAUUAUUAAUCAAGUAUAAAAAUGAAAAACAGAUGGGUCUGUUCUAGUGGCUAAAGAAGUAAUUGAAACCAUAUAAAAUGUGAAUUUGUUAACCGUCUUCAAAGUGAUCGAAGGAGAUGUGUCGAAGGAAUAUAAGAGUUUUAAGUUGACCGUUCAAGCUACGCCUAAAGGAGAGGGCAGUGUGGUGCGUUGGACCUUAGAAUAUGAGAAGAUCCAUGAGAAUAUACGAGAUCCUUACUCCUUGCUAGAGUUUAUUGUACAAUUUAGUAAGGAUGUUUCUGCUCAUCUCGUGAAAUAUCCGAAGAAAUGAUCAUGAACAUGUUAUGCUUUAAUAUGUGAUUUGCAUAAUAAUUAAAUAAGUGCUCUAUAAUGAAGCAUCAAUGACAAACAUAUUUGUGUAUGAACUUAUAUCUACAAUGUAUUACAUCUUAAAACUAUGUUUGUGUUUUUUUAAUGAUUACACUUCCUUUAUUAAUGUCUAUCUAAAUUUUUAAUGUCCAAUUGAUGUUGAUUCGUCUUGAUUUAAAUCUAUUUUUUAAUUUUUUAUUAUAAAAAAUUAAAAAUUCAAAGCGAACUCUAACAACUUAAAAUUUAACAUAGAAUGAAAAAUACUCAUGAAAACUUAUCGACAUAAAUUAUGAUAUUCAUAUCCAGAAAUCUCUUCACCGGCUGUUUUCUCUGUUUCAAACAAUGAUUAGUAGCAUCAUAUCUAAUUUUCCUAGAAUUUUCAAUCAAUUUUAAGUUUAUCAAGAUGUAUUGAAAAAUAAUUAAGUAUGAUAUGUAAAAUUAGAAGACUAUGAUCUUAUGAAGGCACACUGAUAUAUAUCAUAAUUUAGAGGAUGUAGCCUUUGUUUAUUUAUAAAGAAUAAAAUUUUAAAAAAUAUUUAUUAUGAAAAAUAUUUUCUAAGAAUAAAAAUAAUUUUUAAGAAAAUUUUUAUUUAUUAUUUAUAUUAAUAUAAAAAAAUAAAAAUAUGCAGCAAUCGCACAGUAUAUAUAUAUAUAUAUAUAUAUAUAUAUAUAUAUAUAUAUUUGUUUAAAAUAAAAGAAGAAAAUAUAAAUUUAUUUUUAUUAGAAUGAGAUAUAUAAUUAUUUAUAUAAGGCAUUGUAACAUUUUCCAUCCCAUAACACAAACCCUAAUUGAAAUCACUCACAAUAGUCAAUGCUUCAUAAUUGAGUAGGAAAGAUCUCUAAACAUAUAUAUAUAUAUAUAUAUAUAUAUAUAUAUAUAUAUAUAUAUAUAUAUAUAUAUAUAUUUAUAUAUGGCAACUAAGCUUAUGCAACUUCUAUAUAAGGAAAGCAAUGCCAAAGCAGCAUAAGCAUUACCAAAAACUCUCUAUUGGGCAAAUUGGAGGCAGAUGUUGAGAUCAAUGCUCCAGCAGAUCAAUUUCACGAUGUCUUUAGUUGCAGACCACACAUGUAUUCAAUAUGAGUCCCAAUAAAAUUGAUGGUUGUGAUCUCCAUGAAGGUGAAUGGGUAAGGAAUGCACUGUGGUUUGCUGGAGUUAUUCUCAUGGUAAGCCUUAAAUCUUCAAUUGAAACUUUCUUUAGCUUUUAUUUUAAUUUUUUUUGUAAUUUUUAAAAAUUAUUAAUUAAGUAUUAAAAUGAAAAAUAAAUAGAUCUCGUAAAGUAGCUAAAGAGAUAAUUGAAGCCAUAAAUGAUGUGAACUUGUCAACCACCUUCAAAGUGAUUGAAGGAGAUCUAUUGAAGGAGUACAGAAGUUUCAAGUUGAUCAUUAAGCUAUACCCAAGGGUGAGGGAAGUUUGACGCAUUGGACUUUGAAAUAUGAAAAAUUCCAUGAGAAUAUACCAAAUCCUAAUACAUUACUGGAACUACUUAUCCACUUAAGUAAAGAUAUUUAUGCUUAUCUCGUGGAAUGUCAAAAAAAAUUCCAUGAGAAUAUGUCAUAACGCAACGCGUGAUAUUUCUUUUAAUAAUUAAAUAAGUGCUCUAUAAUGAAGCACAAGUGGCUGGGACAUUUUGUUGCAGAAAAACUUGCCUAAAAUCUAUGUCAUGUGUUUGUGUUACUCUAUUAUUAUAUGUCUUUUAAUUUGAUAAAAUUAAAAAAAUAGAGAUUAAAUCAUUUACUUUUUAAAAAAAAAUAAUUUAACAGCAUAGAGUAAGGAUUAAACUGUUAAUUUUAAAAUUUUAUGCGGUUAUAUAUUAAUUUUGACCUAAUUAUUUUAUAACAAGUAAUUGCAAUGGUCUCAUCCGUAGGAAAUUUGUAAUUAAUAUAUUUUAUUUAUUUUUAUAUAUUUAUUGUGUGUUGAGUAUAUUAUAAAAGGGUCCAACAUGCAAGUAAUAAUUCAAAAUUUGAAAAAUGUGAUCUAUUAUUUUGUCCCAAUUUGCAUGCAUAGAAGAUUUACUCCAAACGGAAAUAAUUUUUUUUUUUUUUUUACAUUGCAGAGAAAAAAAUUACAAUUAAGCAAUUAGGCGUUUCAGAGAAUAUAGGCCUAUUAAUCUGAAGGCAAUAUUUCUCAAAAACACAAAUUUGCAACAAUAUCAGUAAAAGUGUUUGCGAACAUAGUGGUGUUACAUAACAUUAGUCCAAAAAAAGUUAUGAGUUGUCACUAUAGAAUAGGAAUCACGUGAUAAAAUUUAACAAGUAAAAAAACGUUGUCUCACUACAGGAGGAAACCCGAAUACUUUAACACGCAGACUAUCAUCAAUACUCGCCCUCCCAGGAUAGGCCGAGUCUUGACAGAGUUACUGUUAUUAGGCACAUUUCUACUUUGUCAGAGAUCGUGGGAUUACUAAUCUAAUUAGCUGACGUUGUUCAUUAUUGAGCAGUCGGCCACAUUAUUGCCGAAUUUUCACAAAACACUAUAUUUAUCUUCAUCCCUUACAGUAUAAAAUGAGAACGAUUUCAGAGAAAAUGUAUGCUAUUUCUAAUACUAUUCAAACUCUAAAUAAUCCUUCGCAUUCUCUUUGUUCUUCUAAACACUGAUUUCAGCAUCACAUAGACUGUCGUGGGCACCCACCACCACCUCACGUUUUCUCUUUUGUAGGUUCUAGCCAAUUACAGCUCAGUUCCAUUUCGACUACGUCAUCAAUCCAAUCUUAGCAACAUCAUUUGGUUCCAUUGUCGAGAAAGAUCCAUUAAACUCACUCCUGGAUCAGGCCCAGUUUCCUAUCGUCUUUCCUCACUCGAAAUGGCCGGAAACCCUAUAGUUGCUGACAAUACCAUUACCAAUGAGGGGGUCAUCAUUUCCUCUAUCCCAAAUAACCGAGAGAACAUGCAUCCAGUGAUCAAUGAAACAAACCUUAAUAAUUUGAAUAAUGAGCAGAUAAUCCAGUAUAUCUAAAGGCUGCAGGCCACUCUCGGGCAGUAUAAGACCUAAGAAGAGGCGUCUAAGAUGGACUCUGAAAGAAGAGAUGAGACUUCCGUAAACACCCCCAAAGCCAUCAUGGAAGCACCUAAAAUGCGGCAUAAAGGUGUAACGACCCGAAAAUCGGACCGCUACCGGCGCUAGGAUCUUAAGGUCACCGGAACCCGUAGCAAGCCUAACAUACAUCCUGUAUACCUGCUAAAAUCCCAUACAUGAUCAUACAUUUUCAUAAAAACUUUAAAUUUUUCAUAUACCAAGUUUGACCUAUGCAUGCAACAUAACUGUAUACAUAAAAUCCCUUACUGGAGCCCUCAUCAAAUGCUCUAGUUGGGUCAACAUCUCAUACAUCAAGCUUGGUUCAACAUAUAUCAUCAUUAAAAAUAUUUCAUAAAGAUCAUGUACCAAAAGGGAUUAACCAUACAUUAGGGCCAAGCACAAUACUAAUCCGCAUUACAUUACUGAAUAAUACCUUACAUUACAUUACAUGUCAUUUCAUGUCCACUACUAAUCUAUUACAUGACAUAGCCAUUACCCUUGCUGACUUCAUGCUAUCUUUGACCCUGCAAACCUGGGGGUUAGGGGAAAAGGGUGAGCUACAAAAGCCCAGUGAGUAGAACAGUAAAACACAAUUUAAUAAAACACAUGCUUUUAUGAAAUGCGUCACAACACAAACAAUUCACAACAAGGAUGGACUUGUCACCAAUAACCCUCUACAUAAUUCAAUGUGCCCGGCCCUCGACGGGGCUCCCCAGGACUUCCUCUUAAACAUAAUAUAAUGCCAAGACGCAUGGCAUGGGCAGCCCUGGACUUUCUUACAUACCAUAUCAUAUCAUAUUGAGGGCUAGUGGGUCAUCCAAUAUCCAUCCACAACAACAACAAAUUAUGCAAUGCAUCAUAUUCGUGAAUUCUAAUGCCACAACCUAAUACAUAAACAUGGUAUCCAUGAUGCAUGAGCAUGCUUAAAAGUUUGAUUGCUUAAAAAAAGAAAGAGUUAUGUUCUACUCACCUUUGGCUGACUCUAGAAUAGCUAACUCACUGUUGAUCACCUCGGUUCCUCAAGUCCAAUCUUACACAGGUAGACUCAAAUGAGGGACCAAACAUACUCUAACAUGACUCUAAACAUCUCCCCAAAAACCCCCUAAAAUAUCAUAAAACAUGCACACAAAACAAGCAAAGGAAGGCUAGGCAGGAGACUUUCGGCGGCAGGUUCGGCGGCCGAAGGUCCCUACAGAGCCGAAAGUCAGGCACUUUCGGGGGCAGGGUUCGGCGGCCGAAAGCCUUCACAGACUCGAAAGUCACCCACCUUCGGGGGCAGGUUCGGUGGCCGAAACUCCCCUCCAGAGUCGAAAGUCUAACUUUCAGGGGCGAGUUUAGGCGGUCAAAACUACCUCCUCUGGCAGGUUCGGCGACCGAACCUGGGUUCUCCAGGACGACAGAACCCGAUUUUGCCUCAUGUAUUCAGCCAUCCAAACCUCACCAACACCCAUCCAACUAUUCUAAAGCAUGCAUAAAUACAUAUUCGAGCUUAUAGGGGCUUAAAACUAGCCUAUACCCCCAACAAACAUCAACAUAGCAUCACAUUUAACAUUAAACUAACAUAAACCCUAACAUUUAGAUCUACUCUAAAUAUGCAUUAAACACCCUUAAAACCUCCUAAAACUUACUUAAAACAUAAAAAGGUAUAGAUCUACACUUACCUCUUGAAGAUCGAGAGGAGAGGUGAUCCAAACUUGGAGAUUGGGAGAAAUCGAGCUCUGGGGGUCUCCAAGCUUCAAAACUUUGAUCUUAGCUUAAAAUCUUCAAAACAAAGGUAAAAACUGCUCAUCAAGACUUAAAGGAAAUGAAGGAAAACACAAAAUCAACCAAAGGAGGGCGAAAUCUCACCUAUGUCAGAAAAUAAAGAGAGAAAACUUGUCCAUUUUCGGAUAAUGGGCCUUUUAUAGGUGGCUGGCCAGACCACCUUCAGGGGCCAAAGGUGCUUCCACAAGAGCCCAAUGUUCCGCGGUCGAACCUGGCUUUUCCUUCCUUGGUCUUUUCUUUCAAAACUCAAUUUCUUUUUUCAUUAAAACCAUAAAAAUAUAUAAAAACAUUUUAGAAAACCUUUAUUUUACCCUUCUAGAAGGCUCCGACAUCCGAGAAUUUCAGAUUCCAACGGAGAUUCCGCUGGAAGGUAGGAAUUCCGAUGCCGGAGUCUAGCCGGGUAUUUUAAACUCACUCCUGGAUCAGGCCCAGUUUCCUAUCGUCUUUCCUCACUCGAAAUGGCUGAAAACCCUACAGUUGCUGACAAUACCAUUACCAAUGAGGGGGUCAUUAUUUCCUCUAUCCCAAAUAACCGAGAGAACAUGCAUCCAAUGAUCAAUAAAGCAGACCUUAAUAAUUUGAAUAAUGAGCAAAUAAUCCAGUAUAUCUAAAGGUUGCAGGCCACUCUCGGGCAGUAUAAGACCCAAGAAGAGGCGUCUAAGAUGGACUCUGAAAGAAGAGAUGAGACUUUCGUAAACACCCCCAAAGCCAAGAUAGAAGCACCUAAAAUGCGGCAUAAAGGUAAGUGUGAAUCUGAAGAUAAAUCAAAUGAGGUUUCAAAAGAAGUGAAUUGGAAGCUAGUACGAGCCAUACAAAGAUAUUAAAGAAAACAAGAAGAGGAUUAUAGUUUGGAUGGGGUCUCGCCUCUUUCGGAAAAAAUACUGGUGAAAACUUUUCCCGCUAAGUUCAAGUUGUCCUAUUUGGAUAAGUAUUACGGGACAGCAGACCCUUGAAGCCAUCUAGCCAUUUUCAGGACGACCCUGGAGUUUCAAGAUUUAAAUAAUUUUGUGUUAUGCCGAAUGUUCCUGUCGACAUUCGCAGAUUUCUGAAACUUAUUAAUAAGUAUAAAAAUAAAAAAUUGAUGGAUCUCGCAAAGUGGCAAAAGAGGUGAUUGAAACUAUAGAUGAUGUGAACUUAUCAACCACUUAUGAAAUGAUCGACAGAGAUCUAAUGAAGGAGUACAAGAGUUUCAAAGCUACUGUUCAAGCUACACCCAAAAGAAAUGGCAGUUUGGUGCAUUGGACCUUGUUAAUAUAAGAAGUUGAAUGAAAAUAUAUCAGAUCUCCAUACAUUAAUGGAAUUUCUUAUCCAUUGCAGUAAGGAUAUUUCUGCUCAUCUCGUGGAAUGCCGGAAGAAAUGAUCAUGGAAUAUGAUCAUCACAUAUUCAUAUCUAAGAAUCUCUUUGCUGUUUUUUCAGACAAUAAAUAAUCAAUUAGUAGCAUCUAUCGAUCUAGCUAAUUUUUUAAAAGUUUUUGAUCGAUUUUAAAUUUAUCAAUAUGUGUUGAUAAUUAAUUAUGAUACAUAAAAUCAGAGACUAUGAUUUUAUUCAUACAUAUUGUAAUAGACAUCAUAAUUUGGAUGCAUUAGAUUCUAUUUAUUUAUAAAAAAUAAAUUAUUGUCUUUAAAAAUAAUUUAAUAUUUUUAUCAGUAAAAUAAUUUUUAUUAAUCAUUUCUUUUGAGUAUUCUAUAUACAUAAAAAAAAUUGAAAGAUAUUUUAGCCGCGUAUAUAUUCACAUUUUCACUUAUUAAUUAUAUAUCUAUAUAAAUUAAAUAUGGGAUUUAAUAUAAUUUAAAAUAAUAUAUUAUUUAUUUAUGUAUCAUAUUUAUAUAUUAAAAUUUCUAUGGAAUUUUUCAUCAAAUAAUGCUCAACUCCUCUAUGAGUUAUGGCACCCUCUUCGAAUAGCUAGAAAUACCUAAUCUUAUUUAAAAAAUAAAUAUUUUACUUAAACUUUAAUAUAAAUAUUUUAUUUAAUUAUUAAAAUUAACUCAUUUUUAUAUAUGAAUUUAAAUAAUUUAAAUUAAAUUUUAACGAAAUUUUAAAAUAAAUUUAACAUUAAAAAUGAAAUAAAAUUAUCUUAUUAUUUCUAUUUGUGAUAAUUGUUUUAUCUCACUAAACUUAAAUAGAGUUAGAGAUGUAUCGUAUGAAAAAACUUGCUUAAACGUUGAGUUUCAAUUAGAUUUUUUUAAAUAAUUUUAUUUAGUUUAAGAACUCUAUUUAAUUACCAAUAAAAUAUAUGGAAGGAUUUGAGAUUUAGGUAAAGAAAAAUUAUAAUUCAAGAAUUAAACUAUUUGUUUUAUAAAUAAAAAAAAUAUUUUUAUUAAUUAAUUUAAGGACUGAAAAGUUACUUUAUUUAAACCAUACAAUAAAUAUUUGCCCAACUUUACAUAAUCUUAUCACAAAAAAAAAAAUCAAUAAUUUUAAAACACUUUUUACAAAUAUCGUAAGAGAUUAAAAGAAAUCUUAUCACUCAUUAUUAUUGCUCCUUUUCUUUAAAUUUUUAUUAUACUCAAAAUAUAAAGUAUAUUUAUAAAUUUUUUUAUAAAUAAUUAUCAUAUUAUAAUAUCCAGAAAAAAAUAUCACAAAAAACAUUUCCCCCAAACAUUUGAAAAUACACUUUCACAAAUAUUGUCCCCGAUUAAGGAAUCCCUCUAUAUAUUUAAUUAUUUUUAUGAUUUAAUUAUUCAUAUAUUAAAUUUAUUUUGAAUAUAUUUUUAUUUAUAUUUUUAUUGAAAUAUUGAAAUAUUUAUAAUUUCAAAUUAGUUUAUAAGUAUUUAUAUUAUCAUUUUAAUUUAUUUUCUAUUAUUUACAAUAAUUUUCAUCCCAUAAUACACAUUCUAAUUGAAAUUACUCAACAUAGUCACAUCUGCAUAAUUGAGUAUGAAAAUAUUUCUAUAAUAUUAAAAUAAAUAAAUAUAUAAAUGACAAUUAGGCUCAUGCCACUUCUAUAUAUAGAAAGCAAUGCCAAAGGACUGCAUGCAUCAUUAGAUUCAUUAGUGAUCAUAAGCAUCACCAGAAAUUCUGUAUCUUUCUUUUUUCAAAAGCUAAAAAUGACAUUAUGGGGCAAACUAGAGGCACAGUUUGGGAUCGAUGCUCCUGCAGAUCAGUUUCAUGAUGUCUUCAGUUGUCGACCACACCAUAUAUCCAAUAUGUCCCCUCACCAUAUUCAUGGUUGUGAUAUUCAUGAAGGUGAAUGGGGUAAGGAAGGCUCUAUUGUCUGCUGGAAAUAUUUCCAUGGUAAGCGUUUAAUCUUUUUCAAUUGUAUUUUUCCUUUUUUCUUCUAAAAAUUAUUAAUAAGUAUAAAAUGAAAAACAGAUGGGUCUGCUAAAGUGGCUAAGGAAGUAAUUGAAACCAUAGAUGAUGUGAAUUUGUUAACCGUCUUUAAAGUGAUCGAAGGAGAUUUGUUGAAGGAAUAUAAGAGUUUCAAGUUGACCGUUCAAGCUACAC
Molecule: long non-coding RNA, 36353 nt
Filed under: Manihot esculenta (cassava)
Lineage: Eukaryota; Viridiplantae; Streptophyta; Magnoliopsida; Malpighiales; Euphorbiaceae
Description: long non-coding RNA (MESC_LNC010412)
Source: RNAcentral